GACGAACGCUGGCGGCGUGCUUAACACAUGCAAGUCGAACGGAAAGGCUCCAGCUUGCUGGAGUACUCGAGUGGCGAACGGGUGAGUAACACGUGGGUAAUCUGCCCUGCACUCUGGGAUAAGCCUGGGAAACUGGGUCUAAUACUGGAUAUGACCUUUCUCCUUAUGGGGUUUGGUGGAAAGUUUUUCGGUGUAGGAUGAGCCCGCGGCCUAUCAGCUUGUUGGUGGGGUGAUGGCCUACCAAGGCGACGACGGGUAGCCGGCCUGAGAGGGUGAUCGGCCACAUUGGGACUGAGAUACGGCCCAGACUCCUACGGGAGGCAGCAGUGGGGAAUAUUGCACAAUGGGCGGAAGCCUGAUGCAGCGACGCCGCGUGAGGGAAGACGGCCUUCGGGUUGUAAACCUCUUUCAGCAGGGACGAAGCGUAAGUGACGGUACCUGCAGAAGAAGCACCGGCUAACUAUGUG
Molecule: ribosomal RNA, 467 nt
Filed under: uncultured bacterium
Lineage: Bacteria
Description: partial 16S ribosomal RNA
Rfam family: Bacterial small subunit ribosomal RNA
Source: RNAcentral